GAAUAUUGGACAAUGGGCGAAAGCCUGAUCCAGCAAUGCCGCGUGAGUGAUGAAGGCCUUAGGGUCGUAAAGCUCUUUUACCAGGGAUGAUAAUGACAGUACCUGGAGAAUAAGCUCCGGCUAACUCCGUGCCAGCAGCCGCGGUAAUACGUAGGGAGCAAGCGUUGUUCGGAUUUACUGGGCGUAAAGGGCGCGUAGGCGGCGUGUUAAGUCAGCUGUGAAAUCUCCAAGCUUAACUUGGAACGGCCAGCUGAUACUGAUGUGCUAGAGUGCAGAAAGGGCAAUCGGAAUUCUUGGUGUAGCGGUGAAAUGCGUAGAUAUCAAGAGGAACACCUGAGGCGAAGGCGGGUUGCUAGGCUGACACUGACGCUGAGGCGCGAAAGCCAGGGGAGCAAACGGG
RNAcentral lists this ribosomal RNA (400 nucleotides) under uncultured bacterium. RNAcentral describes it as "bacterial SSU rRNA". It matches the Rfam family "Bacterial small subunit ribosomal RNA", at positions 359 to 776 of the family's 1533-position model. The record is from RNAcentral.